CCUACGGGGGGCUGCAGUGGGGAAUAUUGGACAAUGGGGGGAACCCUGAUCCAGCCAUGCCGCGUGUGUGAAGAAGGCCCUCGGGUUGUAAAGCACUUUCAGUGAGGAAGAACGCCUGGUGGUUAAUACCCAUCAGGAAAGACAUCACUCACAGAAGAAGCACCGGCUAACUCCGUGCCAGCAGCCGCGGUAAUACGGAGGGUGCGAGCGUUAAUCGGAAUUACUGGGCGUAAAGCGCGCGUAGGUGGCUUGAUAAGCCGGUUGUGAAAGCCCCGGGCUCAACCUGGGAACGGCAUCCGGAACUGUCCAGCUAGAGUGCAGGAGAGGAAGGUAGAAUUCCCGGUGUAGCGGUGAAAUGCGUAGAGAUCGGGAGGAAUACCAGUGGCGAAGGCGGCCUUCUGGACUGACACUGACACUGAGGUGCGAAAGCGUGGGUAGCAAACAGGAUUAGAUACCCCAGUAGUC
Molecule: ribosomal RNA, 465 nt
Filed under: Vreelandella stevensii
Lineage: Bacteria; Pseudomonadati; Pseudomonadota; Gammaproteobacteria; Oceanospirillales; Halomonadaceae
Description: partial 16S ribosomal RNA
Rfam family: Bacterial small subunit ribosomal RNA
Source: RNAcentral